GCAACUUUGCCAGAGCCAAACAAAAGACUUUUGCUCAGGUGAUCAUUGCAUAUUUAAGCCAACUGCAGGCAGUUUGUUUUCUCCAACCCGCCCUGGAUGCAGGAAACUCCCCUGGCUAAUCCGAAAAACACGGAGGUUUAACUGGUUAUUAUUUCCUAGCAAGUGCUUUGAAGUUGGGUUUGGACCGAGACGACGUUGGCACCAGGCCGGCAAUAUUGGGGCCCUGAUGACCUGUCCUGUAGUUAUCAUCUCAGAGUGCAACCAGAACCGGAGGCCAGAAUCAGACAACCUAGUGAGUUUCCAGGAAGCUGGUUGAAGAAGAGAUAUCAAGAGCAUGAGAAUUAACUGCUGAAAGCAGACAGGGAAGCUUUUGGAUCGAACUUGGGUUUAUUUAAGUUUUUCAUUUUAACACCAUAUUUAAAAAAAUCAAUUCAACUUAUCAAUUAAAAGAACACAAGAGUGAAAAAUCAAAAGGACUGAAAAUAAGACUGUGACACGAAGAAAAUGGACUCUGGUUUAUGAGCAAUCUGAGAAGCUCUCCUUCCCUAUAAUUUUCUGACCAUAUAGUUUCAAGAAAUUUGUUCCAGUGGAUGUGAUAUAGAUGAUUCGAAUAAAAUAAAAAUAGCUCUGCUGACUUUGGGCUUCAUUGGG
Molecule: long non-coding RNA, 651 nt
Filed under: Sus scrofa (pig)
Lineage: Eukaryota; Metazoa; Chordata; Mammalia; Artiodactyla; Suidae
Description: lncRNA (ENSSSCG00045002805.1)
Source: RNAcentral